Molecule: ribosomal RNA, 253 nt
Filed under: uncultured bacterium
Lineage: Bacteria
Description: partial 16S ribosomal RNA
Rfam family: Bacterial small subunit ribosomal RNA
Source: RNAcentral
UACGAAGGGGGCUAGCGUUGCUCGGAAUGACUGGGCGUAAAGGGCGCGUAGGCGGUUCGUACAGUCAGACGUGAAAUCCCCGGGCUUAACCUGGGAAUGGCAUUUGGGACUGCAAGGCUUGAGUGCGGCAGAGGAGACUGGAAUUCCUGGUGUAGCAGUGAAAUGCGUAGAUAUCAGGAGGAACACCGAUGGCGAAGGCAGGUCUCUGGGCUGACACUGACGCUCAUGCACGAAAGCGUGGGGAGCAAACAGG